This 492-nucleotide ribosomal RNA is filed under the name uncultured bacterium. Its description in RNAcentral is "partial 16S ribosomal RNA". It matches the Rfam family "Bacterial small subunit ribosomal RNA", at positions 29 to 507 of the family's 1533-position model. The record is from RNAcentral.
AGUGAACGCUGGCGGUAGGCCUAACACAUGCAAGUCGAACGGCAGCACAGUAAGAGCUUGCUCUUACGGGUGGCGAGUGGCGGACGGGUGAGGAAUACAUCGGAAUCUACUUUUUCGUGGGGGAUAACGUAGGGAAACUUACGCUAAUACCGCAUACGACCUACGGGUGAAAGCAGGGGAUCUUCGGACCUUGCGCGAUUGAAUGAGCCGAUGUCGGAUUAGCUAGUUGGCGGGGUAAAGGCCCACCAAGGCGACGAUCCGUAGCUGGUCUGAGAGGAUGGUCAGCCACACUGGAACGGGGACACGGUCCAGACUCCUGCGGGAGGCAGCAGUGGGGAAUAUUGGACAGUGGGCGCAAGCCUGAUCCAGCCAUACCGCGUGUGUGAAGAAGGCCUUCGGGUUGUAAAGCCCUUUUGUUGGGAAAGAAAAGCAGCAGGUUAAUACCCCGCUGUUCUGACGGUACCCAAAGAAUAAGCACCGGCUAACUUCGUG